This 2928-nucleotide long non-coding RNA is filed under the name Diabrotica virgifera virgifera (western corn rootworm). Its description in RNAcentral is "uncharacterized LOC126878928". Lineage: Eukaryota; Metazoa; Arthropoda; Insecta; Coleoptera; Chrysomelidae. The record is from RNAcentral.
UUUACACCCGUAUUUUGAAUUUCUCUAAUAGAUGGUUUGUUUAAACCCUAAAUUUUCCUUUAAGGUUUUUUCUUAUUAAUUGAAAACAAUCAUUUUUGUUUAAGAAUAAAUUCAAAAUACUGGUAAAAUUGCUAAGUCCCCAAGAGGUACCGAACUAUAAGUAACAUAUCCUAUACAUAUAGGUACAUAUUAUUAUAAGAUAAUCUACCAAGCGAAGUGAGGUUUUUCAUUUACUGUCUUAAACUCAAUGAUGUAUAAGUUGUAUAUGAUGUAUAAGUAGUAUAGGUACAAUAUAUAUAUAUACUUUUCAAAUUGCCCGCCAAAUCCAGAGAACUGUCAAUUGUCUAGAAGCUCCGAAGCAAAGUAUUUGGUUUUCUCUAGACGCAAGUACUUGAGACGCUGUGUCAGGUGAGGUGUUUGAAAAUUUUGUAACUUGAUUGCUUGAUUCUGUGGUGUGAAGGUGGUUAAACUUUUGUUUUAUUUUUUUUUGUUUUGUUUGUUUUUGUUGUUGCGAAUAUAUCGCAGAAAGUUUUUAGAUGAAGUAAUUUUAUGAUGAAGAUAACACAGAAAAUACAAGAGGGCAGCAUACUUUGUAAAACAGCUGUUACAAUUUGAAAUCAGCAUUUUGUUAAGUUGUUGUCUUGCAGGUAAAAAAAGUGACUUUUUAAAAAAAUUAUAUCUUGGAAACUAAAAAUUAUUUUUAUUUAUAAUUGAAACAUGUAAAAGUAUAGUACUCUCAAAAAAAUUUCAGCCAAAAAAUAUUCAUUUUUGUAGAGUUGACUGCAAUUUUUCGACAACAGCCCUUUUUUGCAGUGAGCAGCAUAACAAGUCCAGUCUCAUCUGAAACCAAAGUUUCUUGUAGUUUAUACCUCUGGCUAGUGAAUGAACAAAGGAUUUUUUAUUAGAUGAGGUCAUUUUUGUUUUAUAAAAAAAACUACUUUAAAAAUGAGAAAAAUUGGGGUCAAAAAUGUGUUUAAACUUAUGUAAAAUCUUCAAAUUUCAUUUUUUUUUUAAUUCCUUCGUUCAUAUUCUAGCCAGAGGUAUAAACUACAAGAAACUUUUUGAUUUCAGAUGAGACUGGACUUAGUAUGCUGCCAACGCAAAAAAACUUAAACUCUACAAAAAUGAAUAUUUUUGGCUGAAACUUUUUUUGAGACUACCUUAAGUACUAUACUUUUACAUGUUCCAAUUAUAAAUAAAAAUAAAUUUUAGUUUUCGAGAUAUAAUUUUUUUAAAAAGUCACUUUUUUUACCCACAAUACCUAUAUGUAACCCCUUAAAAAAAUGUUUGGAAGAAUAUGUUUGAUGGCCAAGAUGCAUACAUAUAUUUAGAAGCAAAGUUCCUGAUUUCUGUAGUAUAAUACAUAAUACCGAAGAGGAAGUAGCCCUAAGCGCCGGACUCCACUUGCGAUUUGUAGUUGUGAAGAUUGAACACAUUCUUUCAAAUAGAAGUCAAUCCAUGAUUAUUUAGUCACAAAUGGAUUGACUUGUAUUUGAAACAAUGUGUUCAAUCUUCCUGAUUACAAAUCGCAAGUGGAGUGCGGCGGUAAUAACACCAAAAUAUUCCAUAUAGGUCCAUAGAAGGUACACAGACAUUGAAAAAUUCCUGGAAUAUCCCCGAAAACAUGUUCCCUGAACAUCCCAGGAAAAUCCUGUGUCAGCAUUUUAAACAUUACCUGAAUGUCUUAUUGGAACAUUCCAUGAAUGUCCACAAAUGUUCUCUGGACAUUCAAAAUAUAUUUUGUAGACAUUCCCUGGAUAUACCAGAAAUACAGUGAUGAGCGCUCUAAUAACCGGCAAAAUAGCACAAAAGAUGUAUUAAGUAGUGAGAUAAAAAGACAUGAAACUAGUCGAGCUGGGAAAUUUAGCGAUAUUAACUUAUACAUUUAGAUUGUAUUGAUUGUGUACCACCUUCAGACGUAUCAGACGAGUUUGGAAACUACCACUGUCACAGUGACAGUUUUAGUUGACAUACUCCUCCGAUAUGUGUAAAGGUGGGAUCAAUAUAACGUAAAUUUAAAGGUUAAUUUCGCUAAAUUUCCCAGCUCGACUAGUUUCAUUUCUUUUUAUCUCACAACUAAAUAUGUUGCCCAUAUUUUGCCGGUUAUUAGGGCACUCAUCACUGUACAUCCUUGCUGAUGUGACAAUACCUCCUAUCUGUUUUUUCAUGAGUUUUGUAUGAGAGAUGGAAAAACAUGUUUUAAGGUCACCUCCUGUGUUCAUAUGUAAGUUUUGACUUGUUUUGUAGUUCAUACAUAGUUUAAUUUACUACAAAACAAGUCAAAAAAUAUCAUAUGAAAACAGGAGGUGACCCUAAGACAAGUUUUUAGUCUCUCUUACAAAACUCAUGAAAAAACAGAUAGGAUGUAUUAUUACAUCACUGACGAUAUGUGGCCAUACCAAAUAAUACAUCCUUGAUAAAUAUAAACAUUUUUAUUGAACAAAAUCUUUUCAUGCAUUUUUUCAAUGCAAUUUACUGAUAUUCCUAAAUAUUUCAAAAAGAUGUGUCACAUUUGCUGUGUAAACCUUUCUUUUGCCUUUCGUAGCCACAUAUUCCGUUUCCUUCCUGGUUUUUUGUAGACCACUUCUCUCAGCUGAUUCUAAAAAAAAUAAAAUAAAUGGUAAUUUUUCUAUCCUUUACAAUUAACAAUCAGAAGAAAUAUUAUUUACAGAUAAUGAUAUGCAUAAUAAUAAUAGGUUUGUUCUAGCAUCAGUUUGAAACCAUCAGCGAAUAGUGGACCAGCGCGAGUAGAGGGGAUCGCACUGGUGACUGUAUUAUGUUCUUUUACUGACCAACUGUUUGCUGAUAGUUUUUGACUAGUUUGACUGUUUGCUAGAACAAACCUAAUAAUAAUGAAUAUUUUGUAUUUUGACAAUGACAUCUGAUGUGGAAGUCAAAACAUUAAUAAAAUUAUUUUUUUCAUUUUAA